Long non-coding RNA from Phascolarctos cinereus (koala), 1854 nucleotides. RefSeq lists it as uncharacterized. The record is from RefSeq and is a predicted model, not a curated record. NCBI's taxonomy places the organism in Eukaryota, Metazoa, Chordata, Mammalia, Diprotodontia, Phascolarctidae.
UUAAAGCAAAAAAGAAAAUGAACUUUAGACUUUAUUUAAUCUAAUGUCAUUUUACAACUGAAGAAACUGAGACUUGGAAAGAUCAAGUUACUUUGCCAAGGUCCCAGGUUAUAAAGGACAGAGCCAGCAUUUAAAUCAAUUCCUUCAACUCCAAAUCUAGCUGCUUGGGGGAAAAGCAGGAGGAAUGCUGGGAAUCUGUGGAGAUGAAGAAAAAGAAGACGACCCUUCCUUCAAUUGUGGUCACUGAACUGUGACUGAAGAUGAGGACCUUUGCCAGAAGAGUCCUCAUAUCUGGGGCUAUGACUAUUGGGAUUUACCUAGAUCUUUGGGGCUAAUGGUUACUCAUUCAAGGGUCCCGGUUUUAUUUUCCUUUCUCUGUUCUUCUGUAAUUUUGUGAUUCAACUGUGUGUUUUCAAAUUGAUCUUAUGGUAUUGGGACUACAUAGAAAUUCAUGUUUAAUUGUUCCUGGAUUUCUUCCCAAAGUGUACCCUGGCCCUUGGUGUCAUGAGACUCUCUGAAACUUCCUAGAAGCCAAACAAAGGAAUUUUCUGGGCUCCACUAUGGAUGUUGUCCAGAACCUCUGUGUAAAGUGUGGGUCACAAGCCUUCCAAGUACGUAAUAAGAUUGACUUAUAGUGCAGCCCAAUUUCAAAUACACUCAGUUCUGCUGUAACUCAUGUUUUGGAAAUGUGACUUUGUUCCAACACCAUUGACGUAUUGAGGAAUAUUCUGAGCAUGACUCAAGUUUCAAGUCUGCCUUUGCACAAUUUCUUCUGUAAGAAACAGCAAGAAAGCAGAAAACAGCACCACUUCACAACAAAUCACAAGAUGUAGCACUUCUGAUGCCUACUUCUAUAAGCUUACUUCCGGUCUUUGUCAAGUGAACUUAAUCAACUGACAGGAUGAACAGAACGACUAAGAACAGAAAGAGAGGACUGACCACGGAUCGUAGAAGUUCCAUCAGAAACUGAAGUUGAAGAUUACCCAAAGAGCAAUGAAGAGCAACGUGGUGGGUAUGAAUGAGUUGAAACAUAUGGCAAGCAAAUAUGCUGAAGGAUCAGUAUAAAGGACGUUGUCAGAAAAAAUAUGACUGAAAAAAAAAGAUGGACCAGUCACAUAGUGAAAGCAAGGAAUAACCAGUGGACUACUGGUUAUUAUACUAACUAUGUGUCCCAUUGGUAUCCAUAAUACAACAAGAGAAUGUGAGGAAGGCUCCCAGUAUGUCUGUGGUGGAUUUGGGGGGAGGAUUUGGACGAGAGUACCAAAGAAUGGGUCCACAUGGAUACAUUGCAAUCUAUAUCAUUGGAGGGAGUGGCCAUAUCACUGAAACCAGGGAUUCAUUAGCAUCUUGGAGUAUUCAAAGUAUUUAUUUUAUAUAACUAAAGCACGAAAAUUGUUUGAAUUGUUUAAAUUGUUUGAAUUGUAUGAUGGUGAAAUUCAGAGAUAAGGUUUGUUCUAAUCUCUUUUUUAUCCUUAGUAGUUGCAUAUCACAAGUAUGCAACUAAAUUUAAAUAUAAAUUUACUUGCCAAGCUGACAUUCCCCACUGGAUUUAUCAAUUAAGCACACCCAUAAAGUAUGUAUGUGGCCUUCCUUCAAGAACUUAAGACUACAGGGAAGAAUGCUCUGGCACUGAAAUGCUGAUGAGAUAGGCAGAGAAAAGCAUUGGUAGUAGGUUUUCUAUUAACCAGUCAAUCAUUGACUAUUUAGGGUCUUUAUGUAAUUUUCUGUGAUCAAGAUUAGGGUGUUAAUGAAGAACAAAGAUGAUCUCUUGUCUUAGUGGGAGAGAAAGUUCAAAGAAAUAAGGAAAAUCUGACAUGCCAUGGCUUUUAGCCUUCCCACUAAGUUUCCAAUAAA